This 391-nucleotide long non-coding RNA is filed under the name Homo sapiens (human). Its description in RNAcentral is "HSALNT0393332". Lineage: Eukaryota; Metazoa; Chordata; Mammalia; Primates; Hominidae. The record is from RNAcentral.
CUCAUUCCAGAUAAUUUUAUUCUUCUGGACUGGGAGGAAAAGGCCUACCUCACGAACUACAGUGUUAAAGAUUCUCCCUUUACUUCGGUAACAAACAGAAAGAGGCCCAACCGAUGCCGAAAUCCAAAGAAAAAUAGACACUCGACACAGAAUAAGAACCAUGGCCUGGACCUACUACCUUCUCCAGACUUCCUGAGACCAACAUUACAGAUCACCGUUUGACCCUAUUCUGCCAUGACAUCGUUUCUUCAUCAAAGGACACCUGUGCUUUUGUGAUAUGUUUAUGUUCUAGUCUGGUUCUCAAAUUUUCAGGACCACAAGAUGCAUUUUAUCUGUUUACUCUGUAUGAUCCAAUGGUUGUAAAUUGAUUUGCACUAAUUAAACCCACAAA